This 468-nucleotide ribosomal RNA is filed under the name uncultured bacterium. RNAcentral describes it as "partial 16S ribosomal RNA". It matches the Rfam family "Bacterial small subunit ribosomal RNA", at positions 28 to 507 of the family's 1533-position model. The record is from RNAcentral.
GACGAACGCUGGCGGCGUGCUUAACACAUGCAAGUCGAACGGAAAGGCCCUGCUUUUGUGGGUUGCUCGAGUGGCGAACGGGUGAGUAACACGUGAGUAACCUGCCCUUGACUUUGGGAUAACUUCAGGAAACUGGGGCUAAUACCGGAUAGGAUCUCCUGCUGCAUGGUGGGGGUUGGAAAGUUUCGGCGGUUGGGGAUGGACUCGCGGCUUAUCAGCUUGUUGGUGUGGUAGUGGCUUACCAAGGCUUUGACGGGUAGCCGGCCUGAGAGGGUGACCGGCGACAUUGGGACUGAGAUACGGCCCAGACUCCUACGGGAGGCAGCAGGGGGGAAUAUUACACAAUGGGCGGAAGCCUGAUGCAGCAACGCCGCGUGCGGGAUGACGGCCUUCGGGUUGUAAACCGCUUUCGCCUGUGACGAAGCGUGAGUGACGGUAAUGGGUAAAGAAGCACCGGCUAACUACGUG